AGUGAGGCAUUCUGAAAUUUUACUGAAGCUCUAAAACUUAACAGCUAUGGAAAUGGGAAAGAGCCGAGGUCAGAAUGAGAAACACAUCCCCACAGGAGUUCUGACCAUCAGUAACAUGAAUUAGCUGGUGUGCACUCUGCUCUGUAACCCUGGAAUCUCCUUUCUACUCGGAGGGAACCAGAGGUACAGCAUGAAGAAGUAUGCCCUUUGGAAAUGUAAAUGAAUACAGUUAAGAGGCUACACCACCCUUUAAAAGAGUUCUUCUGAUCUCUUAGGAGCUUUACAUUUUGAAGAACAUGGAUGGAUGAGAAACUUGAUGUGGAUUAGAGAAGGACUCCUUCUGUCACCCAGGCUGAGGUGCAAUGGCCUGAUCACAGUUCACUGCAGCCUUGAAUUCUUAGACUCAAGCUACUCAUCCACCUCAGCCUCCCAAGUAGCUGGGACUACAGGCUCACACCACCUCACCUGGGUACUUUCUCUCUUUUAAAAAUUUUAUUUGUUAUCUUUUUCAAUUUUAAUGAAAAUUUUAUACAUAUAUAUGUAACCCAUCAGUUAAUAUAAUUUGCUUGUAUAUGUUAUAUAAAAGGUCACUUCCUCUUGAAUUUGCAAAAUAGUUGUUUGCUUAGCAUGAAUGCCAACAAUAUUUUUUUAAAUUUAAAGAUAGCCUACUCUCAUAUAGAGCAGAUUUUUUUAAUAUAUAAAAAUAAUUCCAAAUUUUAUUUUAUUUUCUGUUGCAAAGGCAAAUAAUCUUGGAAGUCUCUUUUAAAAGUUAAAUCAAUGCCAUAAUAUACUCAAAUUGUUACAAAGAACAGUCUAUUGUAACACCCUGUGAUUUACUGAUAGCAAUGAAGAGUGUGGACUUUGGGGCCAGGAAUCCUUGCUUCAAUUAUUAGUUCUACUACACACUAACCACACGAUCUUAGGCUAAUGUCUUAACCUCAUUUCCUAUCUGCGUAAUUGCAUAAGAAUGCUAUCAACUCAUGCGUCAGUGCUCCUCAAGUGUUUAUGACAGCGAUAAUGUAUAAUACAAUAAGAACUCACCAAACGUUUAAGACACUAUUUCUUAAAAAUCAAGACAGUGAAAACUUCUUCCUUAGCUGUCCGUUUUUCUGCUAUAGUAGGUUCAAAAUUAUUUUUCAGGUAGCCCUAGCCCUGUAUAAGCUAUUCAUCUGACCUCUCUCAGAGGAGCUGGAAUAGUCCUCUCUUCAGAACAUGUCCAUGUUGUGGUCCUUGGGUCCCCUAACCCUUCUCCCUUCUCAUCUGUCAGUUAAGGCUUUGCCUUUAAAUGCUAACAUAGAGCUACAUUUUAAGAGCCCAUAAUUCAAUAUGGAAACAAACUCCCUGGCACACUCUAUUUCUUGAAAGAUUAUCAAAGAGAAUCAACAAUUGGAAGGAAGUGUUGCCGAGAAGCUGGUUGCAUCAAAUGGUUUCUCUAUAGGAACUUUUGUAGAAAUUGCACUUGCUUGUAAUGGCACUGGUCUACCCUGAGAGACCUUUUUAAGAAAAAAGAGAUCCUAAACCUUUGAAGAUAUUCACUCCAUUACACAGCAUCUUCUUUUUGAGAACCCUUAGGACACAACUUUUUUUCUGAUACUAAUAUUAGAAAUACUGUCACUUUACUGUAUUUGGUGUUUGUCUUAAGGGCUAUGUGAAAGACAUGAUUUACUAGAUUUUCUUCCCUGAGUUUUCUGUUAAACAGCUUAGAGGCAAAAUUGUGGUCAGUUUAUGGCAAGUGUAUAGAAUUGUAUAAUAUAAAAUUUUGACUAGCCUCAUUUGUGGGUGGAUUUUCAUGUUUUAUCUUGUAUUUGCUUACUUUUCUUACCUUACUCAAUUUAUUCUAUUUAGGUGUAUUGUACAUUUCUUAUAAAGCCACCUGAAUUUGCUUUUGGAACAAUAUGACUUAGUAUUUAAUAACUAUGUCACUUACAGUGAAAAUUAUAAGCCUCUUCAUAAUUUUAUAAAGUACCAUGGUAUGUAACUAAUAAAAAAGUAAUAAUUAAAAUAUAAA
This 2008-nucleotide small RNA is filed under the name Pan troglodytes (chimpanzee). RNAcentral describes it as "processed transcript". Lineage: Eukaryota; Metazoa; Chordata; Mammalia; Primates; Hominidae. The record is from RNAcentral.